UGAAUGACGGUGAAUGACUGCAGGAGGU
RNAcentral lists this non-coding RNA (28 nucleotides) under Rattus norvegicus (Norway rat). Lineage: Eukaryota; Metazoa; Chordata; Mammalia; Rodentia; Muridae. The record is from RNAcentral.